Molecule: ribosomal RNA, 582 nt
Filed under: Triticum aestivum (bread wheat)
Lineage: Eukaryota; Viridiplantae; Streptophyta; Magnoliopsida; Poales; Poaceae
Description: partial small subunit ribosomal RNA
Source: RNAcentral
AUGAGUUCAGCCAACCACCCGCAGACGGAUGGCCAGACGGAGAGGGUCAAUCAGUGCCUGGAAACCUUCCUUCGAUGCUUCACGCACGCGUGUCCCCGUCGAUGGAGCUACUGGAUUCCUCUUGCACAGUUUUGGUACAAUUCUUCCCAUCAUUCUGCCAUUGGAAUGUCACCUUUCCGUGCUAUGUACGGGCAUGAACCACGGCAAUGGGGGAUUACUACAACGACGGCUUGUUUAGUGCCGGCCCUUAUUUCCUGGCUGGAUGAAUGCGUCGUUGUGCAAGACCUCCUUCAACAGCAUCUACACCGAGCAAGGCAGUGCAUGAAACAACAGGCUGACAGAAAACGAUCAUUCAGGGCCUUUGAAGUAGGUGACUCAGUUUACCUCAAGCUGCAACCUUAUAUUCAAACUUCAGUAGCUCCCCGCGCCUGUCACAAGCUGGCCUUCCGCUUCUUUGGACCCUUCCAGAUUGUUGGGCGGAUCAAUGAGGUGGCCUACAGGCUCCAGUUACCACCUCAUGCGCAAGUGCAUCCUGUCUUGAGCUUCCAACUUAUUCUGACAUACCUUCAGUGCCAGUGGUAG